RNAcentral lists this ribosomal RNA (497 nucleotides) under uncultured bacterium. Its description in RNAcentral is "partial 16S ribosomal RNA". It matches the Rfam family "Bacterial small subunit ribosomal RNA", at positions 28 to 507 of the family's 1533-position model. The record is from RNAcentral.
GAUGAACGCUGGCGGCGUGCCUAAUACAUGCAAGUCGAGCGAACGGACGAGAAGCUUGCUUCUCUGAUGUUAGCGGCGGACGGGUGAGUAACACGUUGAUAACCUACCUAUAAGACUGGGAUAACUUCGGGAAACCGGAGCUAAUACCGGAUAAUAUUUUGAACCGCAUGGUUCAAAAGUGAAAGACGGUCUUGCUGUCACUUAUAGAUGGAUCCGCGCUGCAUUAGCUAGUUGGUAAGGUAACGGCUUACCAAGGCAACGAUGCAUAGCCGACCUGAGAGGGUGAUCGGCCACACUGGAACUGAGACACGGUCCAGACUCCUACGGGAGGCAGCAGUAGGGAAUCUUCCGCAAUGGGCGAAAGCCUGACGGAGCAACGCCGCGUGAGUGAUGAAGGUCUUCGGAUCGUAAAACUCUGUUAUUAGGGAAGAACAUAUGUGUAAGUAACUGUGCACAUCUUGGCGGUACCUAAUCAGAAAGCCACGGCUAACUACGUG